This 292-nucleotide ribosomal RNA is filed under the name uncultured Pseudomonas sp. RNAcentral's name for it is "partial 16S ribosomal RNA". It matches the Rfam family "Bacterial small subunit ribosomal RNA", at positions 505 to 796 of the family's 1533-position model. The record is from RNAcentral. Lineage: Bacteria; Pseudomonadati; Pseudomonadota; Gammaproteobacteria; Pseudomonadales; Pseudomonadaceae.
GUGCCAGCAGCCGCGGUAAUACAGAGGGUGCAAGCGUUAAUCGGAAUUACUGGGCGUAAAGCGCGCGUAGGUGGUUCGUUAAGUUGGAUGUGAAAUCCCCGGGCUCAACCUGGGAACUGCAUCCAAAACUGGCGAGCUAGAGUAGGGCAGAGGGUGGUGGAAUUUCCUGUGUAGCGGUGAAAUGCGUAGAUAUAGGAAGGAACACCAGUGGCGAAGGCGACCACCUGGGCUCAUACUGACACUGAGGUGCGAAAGCGUGCGGAGCAAACAGGAUUAGAAACCCCUGUAGUCC